GCCUACAGCCAUGCCAUCCUGAACAAGCCCGAUCCCGUCUGAUCUGAGAAGCCAAGCAUGGUAGGGCCUGGUUAGUACUUAGAUGGGAGACCACCUAGGAAGACCAGGUGCUGUAGGCG
RNAcentral lists this ribosomal RNA (119 nucleotides) under Pteropus alecto (black flying fox). Lineage: Eukaryota; Metazoa; Chordata; Mammalia; Chiroptera; Pteropodidae. The record is from RNAcentral.